AGAGUUUUCCUUCGGGACAGAGGUGACAGGUGGUGCAUGGUUGUCGUCAGCUCGUGUCGUGAGAUGUUGGGUUAAGUCCCGCAACGAGCGCAACCCCUAACGUUAGUUGCCAUCAUUCAGUUGGGCACUCUAGCGAGACUGCCGGUAAUAAACCGGAGGAAGGUGGGGAUGACGUCAAAUCAUCAUGCCCCUUAUGACCUGGGCUACACACGUGCUACAAUGGCUGGUACAACGAGUCGCAAGCCGGUGACGGCAAGCUAAUCUCUUAAAGCCAGUCUCAGUUCGGAUUGUAGGCUGCAACUCGCCUACAUGAAGUCGGAAUCGCUAGUAAUCGCGGAUCAGCACGCCGCGGUGAAUACGUUCCCGGGCCU
This 371-nucleotide ribosomal RNA is filed under the name uncultured bacterium. Its description in RNAcentral is "bacterial SSU rRNA". It matches the Rfam family "Bacterial small subunit ribosomal RNA", at positions 1009 to 1381 of the family's 1533-position model. The record is from RNAcentral.